RNAcentral lists this ribosomal RNA (214 nucleotides) under uncultured Pasteurellales bacterium. RNAcentral's name for it is "partial 16S ribosomal RNA". It matches the Rfam family "Bacterial small subunit ribosomal RNA", at positions 116 to 334 of the family's 1533-position model. Lineage: Bacteria; Pseudomonadati; Pseudomonadota; Gammaproteobacteria; Pasteurellales. The record is from RNAcentral.
CUUGGGAAUCUAGCUUAUGGAGGGGGAUAACUACGGGAAACUGUAGCUAAUACCGCGUAGAUCGAGAGAUGAAAGUGUGGGACCUUCGGGCCACAUGCCAUAGGAUGAGCCCAAGUGGGAUUAGGUAGUUGGUGAGGUAAAGGCUCACCAAGCCGACGAUCUCUAGCUGGUCUGAGAGGAUGACCAGCCACACUGGGACUGAGACACGGCCCAG